GAUGAACGCUGGCGGCGUGCUUAACACAUGCAAGUCGAACGGAAAGGCUCCUGCUUGCAGGGGUACUCGAGUGGCGAACGGGUGAGUAACACGUGGGUGAUCUGCCCUGCACUUCGGGAUAAGCCUGGGAAACUGGGUCUAAUACCGGAUAGGACCACAUUUUGGAUGGUGUGGUGGAAAGUGUUUCGGUGUGGGAUGAGCUCGCGGCCUAUCAGCUUGUUGGUGGGGUAAUGGCCUACCAAGGCGUCGACGGGUAGCCGGCCUGGGAGGGUGUACGGCCACCUUGGGUCUCAGAUACGGCCCAGACUCCGACGGGAGGCAGGCGUGGGGAAUAUUGCACAAUGGGCGCCAGCCUGAUGCAGCGGCGCCUCGUGGGGUAUGACGGCCUUCGGGUUGUAGACUCGUUUCUCUAGGGCCGAAGCGUUUUUGUGACGGUACCUGGAGAAGAAGCACCGGCUCACUACGUG
This 467-nucleotide ribosomal RNA is filed under the name uncultured bacterium. Its description in RNAcentral is "partial 16S ribosomal RNA". It matches the Rfam family "Bacterial small subunit ribosomal RNA", at positions 28 to 507 of the family's 1533-position model. The record is from RNAcentral.